Molecule: unclassified non-coding RNA, 148 nt
Organism: Papio anubis (olive baboon)
Lineage: Eukaryota; Metazoa; Chordata; Mammalia; Primates; Cercopithecidae
Rfam family: Metazoan signal recognition particle RNA
About the family: The signal recognition particle (SRP) is a universally conserved ribonucleoprotein.
Source: Ensembl
GCUGGGCACGGUGGCGCAUGCCUGUAGUCCCAUCCACUCGGGAGGCCGAGACAGGAGAAUUGCUUGAACCCGGGAGGCGGAGCUUGCAGUGAGCCGAGAUCCGGCCACUGCACUCCAGCCUGGGUGACAGAGCGAGACUCUGUCUCAA